GCUCAGGACGAACGCUGGCGGCGUGCCUAAUACAUGCAAGUCGAGCGGACCGACGGGAGCUUGCUCCCUUAGGUCAGCGGCGGACGGGUGAGUAACACGUGGGUAACCUGCCUGUAAGACUGGGAUAACUCCGGGAAACCGGGGCUAAUACCGGAUGCUUGAUUGAACCGCAUGGUUCAAUCAUAAAAGGUGGCUUUUAGCUACCACUUACAGAUGGACCCGCGGCGCAUUAGCUAGUUGGUGAGGUAACGGCUCACCAAGGCGACGAUGCGUAGCCGACCUGAGAGGGUGAUCGGCCACACUGGGACUGAGACACGGCCCAGACUCCUACGGGAGGCAGCAGUAGGGAAUCUUCCGCAAUGGACGAAAGUCUGACGGAGCAACGCCGCGUGAGUGAUGA
RNAcentral lists this ribosomal RNA (400 nucleotides) under Bacillus licheniformis. Its description in RNAcentral is "bacterial SSU rRNA". It matches the Rfam family "Bacterial small subunit ribosomal RNA", at positions 22 to 411 of the family's 1533-position model. The record is from RNAcentral. Lineage: Bacteria; Bacillati; Bacillota; Bacilli; Caryophanales; Bacillaceae.